Ribosomal RNA from Danio rerio (zebrafish), 115 nucleotides. Lineage: Eukaryota; Metazoa; Chordata; Actinopteri; Cypriniformes; Danionidae. The record is from Ensembl.
GCCGGCAGCUAUCUCUCUGCAACUCUCACAUGGUUGCCCACUGAGGCUAAGCAGGGCUGCGCUUGGUCAGUACGUGGAUGGAAGACCACAUAGGAAAGCUAGGUUGCUGCUGGAA